GAGGCAGAGAGAGAAACCAGAGUCCCAAAAUACUUCAAUACAGCAGGAUGGUGACUCGGCUGUUAUUUCCCAAUGCAUUUGUGCCCUGGAUAAGACCUGAACAAGAUUGGCCUCUUCAGAGUUCCGUCCUGGGCGGGGGAAGGGCUAAACAGGCCCAACCCCUCUCUAACACUCUAACGGCAGUUACCGCACAUUGGGAGGGGGAGAGGCAUUUUCUUCAGUGCUGUAGCCUCCAGUCAACUGCCCUACUUCUGUAAAUGACUUCCUCACCCUUGCUCCUGCUUCCAUGCUGUGGUAGAUCAUUGCAAUCCCGUGGUCUCUUCCGGUCUGCAGCACUUCCCGGCCCUUUCUUCUCUUCCGUACCCUUAGCACUUUGAGGACGCUCUGGCCCGUGGUCCUGUGGAAUCCCGUUCCAUCUCAGCAUGCUUGGCAGUUUCUCAGACUGAGUUGCGGUUAUGGAGCUGGGGAGAGGAACGCAGACACGAGCCCUCUCUCUCUCUCACACCCAGAGCUCACGGAACACCCACUGACACUUUUGUGGGCUGGACCCCCAUCUCCUAGUGCAAUGGUGUCUUCUCGGUUCCUCUGUUGGCAGGAAUGAACAGUUGAGGACCGCCAGAUGUUGUGGAGCAUUUCCUGGAAGACUCAGACUUGAAAGGACAAGUUGGAAAGCAAAGCAGCAUGCUCUGGCCAUGAUGUGUCACUUCAGCCCUCAAGAAAGAAAAAAAAUGGGGUGUGAACUGAAGCCUCCAAAACUUUGAGCCCAAAUAAACCUUCUCUGCCAAAAAGCUGAGCUUGGGGAUCUGUUAGUGAUGGAAGGCUUACUGACAUACUUGUGGAAGGCACGUAAAAAGAGCCCCUAGGGCCAGCGCAACCCUAGCACCAAAUACUGCUGAGAAAUCUUGAGAUGCUUGAAGCCAACAGCAUACCUCCCAGAAAGGAAAGUUUGCGAAGUGCCAUUCAAACAUGAGCCCUACAGGUCCGCCUCCCUCCUACUCUCAUCUGGGAUGAACCAACUGCAGGAGGUGGAUGAGAAAGGAAAGAGCAAGGGUGUUCAAGGUCCAGCCUACCUGACCUUCAGUGCUGCCUGUCCUUUUAACCAGCCUGGCAAGGUGUUGCUGUGGACGCUGUUGACAGCCACAACACUAUGGAGGAUGCUGGCUCUGAACUGAGACCCAGCGAAACAUCACCUGAUGAUAUAGCCUCCAUGGACCCUCCCCAGGAUGGGAAAACCAAAGACGAAAAUGACAGGGGCAGGUCCCCCGAGGAACCUGCUGUGUCCUAUCACUGGGGAGCUCCAGCCCCAGGUGGCACCCACAGUUUCCAGCGCCCCUAGACGAAGGGGCUGAAAGGAGGAGUCAGAACAGGCCCAGUUCUGUGGUCAUCAAACCACAGGGCUAGGGUCAGGCUGGUAUAGACUGAGAGCUUCAGGAAGAAUCCAGGCCAAAAUCCCAGGAAUCUGUACGCUCGAACACCAGUUGCCAUUCAGACACCCUUGGGAGUCAGGGUGCAAGCUCCCCUCCCCUCCUCCUCGCUGCUGGGUCUGAGCUAACAGCUCCCCCCUCCUCUAGUUCACUGUGUCCCCAGUAUCUUCCCGGAGAAGGACGUGCUCCGCAUGGCUUCCACCUCAUGAAGCUACAUCCCUCCAGCCUCUGCAGAACGGGUGGGAUGGAGCACCCACAGUGAGAGAACUGAGUGUCACCACUGGACUCAGGGCCUUCACCAGCUUGUCCCCUCAUCCGCACCAGCCCCAUCACUGACCAGUGCAGA
Molecule: long non-coding RNA, 1770 nt
Organism: Psammomys obesus (fat sand rat)
Lineage: Eukaryota; Metazoa; Chordata; Mammalia; Rodentia; Muridae
Exons: 7
Source: RefSeq, a predicted model, not a curated record